AAUACCUACGGGACGCAGCAGUGAGGAAUAUUGGUCAAUGGGCGGGAGCCUGAACCAGCCAAGCCGCGUGAGGGAAGAAGGUACAGCGUAUCGUAAACCUCUUUUGUCAGGGAACAAAGGCGGGGACUAGUCCCCGGACGAGGGUACCUGAAGAAAAAGCAUCGGCUAACUCCGUGCCAGCAGCCGCGGUAAUACGGAGGAUGCGAGCGUUAUCCGGAUCUAUUGGGUUUAAAGGGUGCGCAGGCGGCCUGUUAAGUCAGCGGGAAAAGUCCGGGGCUCAACCCCGGCGAGCCGUUGAAACUGGC
This 305-nucleotide ribosomal RNA is filed under the name uncultured bacterium. Its description in RNAcentral is "bacterial SSU rRNA". It matches the Rfam family "Bacterial small subunit ribosomal RNA", at positions 334 to 637 of the family's 1533-position model. The record is from RNAcentral.